UCCCCAGUGGCGCAAUUGGUUAGCGGGCGGUACAUAUACGGCGGUAUCUGCGAGUAAUGCCGAAGCUCUGAGUUCGAGCCUCACCUGGAGAC
RNAcentral lists this transfer RNA (92 nucleotides) under Araneus ventricosus. Its description in RNAcentral is "tRNA-Ile". Lineage: Eukaryota; Metazoa; Arthropoda; Arachnida; Araneae; Araneidae. The record is from RNAcentral.